Non-coding RNA from Microcebus murinus (gray mouse lemur), 608 nucleotides. NCBI's taxonomy places the organism in Eukaryota, Metazoa, Chordata, Mammalia, Primates, Cheirogaleidae. The record is from the annotation of a RefSeq genome assembly.
CUUCAACCUGCAGAGCCAUGCAGACACUGUGGACUCUCCUCUGCCUGGUGGCAGCUCCGCUGGGUGUUUUGUCUGAGCUGACCCUGCAGGAGUCGGGCCCAGGACUGGUCACGCCCUCCCAGACCCUGUCUCUCAUCUGCUCUGUCUCUGGGGGCUCUGUCACCACCAGUUACUACUGGCACUGGAUCCGCCAGCGUCCUGGGAGAGCACUGGAGUGGAUGGGGUACUGGAUAGGAAGCACAAGCUACAACCCAGCUUUCCAAGGCCGCAUCUCCAUAACCGCUGACACGUCCAAGAACCAGUUCUCCCUGCAGCUGAGUUCCCUGACCGCCGAGGACACGGCUAUGUAUUACUGUGCGAGAGGCACAGUGAGGGGACUUCAGUGUGAGCCCAGACACAAACCUCCUAUGCAGGGGAGUGAAGGACACCAGGGGGCGCAUUGGGCCACUUCUGCCAGGCAUCAGCUGAGGGCAGGUGUUCAGUGUGAGGUGCAGCUGCUGGAGUCUGGGGGAGGCCUGGUCCAGCCUGGGGGAUCCCUGAGACUCUCCUGUGUAGCCUCUGGAUUCACCUUGACCAGUUAUGGGAUGAACUGGGUCAAUCAGUCUUGA